GACGAACGCUGGCGGCGUGCUUAACACAUGCAAGUCGAACGGAAAGGCCCUGCUUUUGUGGGGUGCUCGAGUGGCGAACGGGUGAGUAACACGUGAGUAACCUGCCCUUGACUUUGGGAUAACUUCAGGAAACUGGGGCUAAUACCGGAUAGGAGCUCCUGCUGCAUGGUGGGGGUUGGAAAGUUUCGGCGGUUGGGGAUGGACUCGCGGCUUAUCAGCUUGUUGGUGGGGUAGUGGCUUACCAAGGCUGUGACGGGUAGCCGGCCUGAGAGGGUGACCGGCCUCAUUGGGACUGAGAUACGGCCCAGACUCCUACGGGAGGCAGCAGUGGGGAAUAUUGCACAAUGGGCGGAAGCCUGAUGCAGCAACGCCGCGUGCGGGAUGACGGCCUUCGGGUUGUAAACCGCUUUCGCCUGUGACGAAGCGUGAGUGACGGUAAUGGGUAAAGAAGCACCGGCUAACUACGUG
Molecule: ribosomal RNA, 468 nt
Filed under: uncultured bacterium
Lineage: Bacteria
Description: partial 16S ribosomal RNA
Rfam family: Bacterial small subunit ribosomal RNA
Source: RNAcentral